RNAcentral lists this ribosomal RNA (380 nucleotides) under uncultured Nitrosomonas sp. RNAcentral's name for it is "bacterial SSU rRNA". It matches the Rfam family "Bacterial small subunit ribosomal RNA", at positions 188 to 563 of the family's 1533-position model. The record is from RNAcentral. Lineage: Bacteria; Pseudomonadati; Pseudomonadota; Betaproteobacteria; Nitrosomonadales; Nitrosomonadaceae.
GAAAGCAGGGGAUCGAAAGACCUUGUGCUUUUGGAGCGGCCGAUGUCUGAUUAGCUAGUUGGUGGGGUAAAGGCCUACCAAGGCGACGAUCAGUAGUUGGUCUGAGAGGACGACCAGCCACACUGGGACUGAGACACGGCCCAGACUCCUACGGGAGGCAGCAGUGGGGAAUUUUGGACAAUGGGCGCAAGCCUGAUCCAGCAAUGCCGCGUGAGUGAAGAAGGCCUUCGGGUUGUAAAGCUCUUUCAGUCGAGAAGAAAAGACUGCGGUGAAUAACUGUAGUUCAUGACGGUAUCGACAGAGGAAGCACCGGCUAACUACGUGCCAGCAGCCGCGGUAAUACGUAGGGUGCGAUGCGUUAUCGGAAAUUCUGGGCGNAA